This 813-nucleotide unclassified non-coding RNA is filed under the name Hevea brasiliensis (rubber tree). Lineage: Eukaryota; Viridiplantae; Streptophyta; Magnoliopsida; Malpighiales; Euphorbiaceae. The record is from RNAcentral.
GUCGAUUUUUGAAACAGUGCCGGAGUAUCAAUUGGCAGUGAGAUGUCAGGUGGUGUAUCAAAUGUCACCGUGGAAAACGUCCUUGUGUGGAGCUCUAGGCGUGCAGUUCGGAUAAAGACAGCCCCUGGAAGAGGUGGAUAUAUUCGACAUAUAACCUAUCGGAAUCUAACAUUUGACAAUGUCCGAGUUGGAAUUGUUAUCAAGACAGAUUACAAUGAACACCCUGACGAAGGUUAUGAUCCUAAGGCAGUUCCAAAACUAGAGGACAUAAGCUACACUGGAGUCCAUGGUCAAGGAGUUCGCGUGCCAGUGCGGAUGCAUGGGAGUGAAGAAAUUCCAGUUAGGAACGUGACUUUUCGGGAUAUGUCAGUGGGAAUAACAUACAAGAAGAAGCAUAUAUUCCAGUGCGCUUUUGUUGAAGGUCGUGUAAUAGGUACCAUAUUCCCUGCCCCAUGUGAGAAUCUUGAUCGUUAUGAUGAGCAAGAACGACUCAUUAAGCACUCCGUCUCCCAGAACUUGACAGAUGUAGACUAUGAUUUUUGAUAAAAUGUUGAGUUCCCAAUCUCCUGGGCAUAGCUUUCUUGAGUUGAGUGACUUCAACAUUUGUCUGUAUGAGAUAAGCUGGAUAAAUCACCCUGGAGCGGUUAAUCUCGCUCUUAAUGUUUUCUGCCAAAGUGUUAUCGAGUUUUUUUCAUUUCUUGACAGAGUUGUAUAUAUACAGAAAAUUCUCAGUUGUUCAUACAUUCAUGAGGGUGCCGAAAUUCCAUAGCUUGUUUUCUACACUUCGAAACCUCUUACAUGGUUGCAAAGCCG